RNAcentral lists this long non-coding RNA (353 nucleotides) under Durio zibethinus. RNAcentral describes it as "long non-coding RNA (DZIB_LNC000150)". The record is from RNAcentral. Lineage: Eukaryota; Viridiplantae; Streptophyta; Magnoliopsida; Malvales; Malvaceae.
AAAUGUCUGAACUAUGGAUAACAUAGACGACUAUAUAGGAGGAAGACAAUGUUGAUGCAAGGAUUGUUAGAUCGUUAUGAGAUACUGUCCGCUCUCAUCUUAUCCAAGAGCUCACAUCGACGGGAAGGUUUGGCACCUCGAUGUCGGCUCUUCGCCACCUGGCGCUAUGAGGGCUUGACGAGACUGCCCUCAUGGUUCUGUCUGAAAAAAGUUAGUCAGAUGGGAAGUGUAAUCUUUAUAAAAUUAUAGUCCAAUCCCUUCCCGAUUAGAUAUGGGAUCGCUUUCACCAUCAAUACUAGCACCCUAAUUUGGACUGUGUUAAAUUUCUUCUAGGAGACAACUGCGAAAUCCCU